GGGGUAGUAGCGCAGGUGGUCAGUUCGCGGCGGACUGAAAAUCCGUAGAUAGUGGUUCGAUUCCACUCUGCCCCA
This 75-nucleotide transfer RNA is filed under the name Bacteriophage sp. RNAcentral describes it as "tRNA-Phe". It matches the Rfam family "tRNA". Rfam says of the family: Transfer RNA (tRNA) molecules are approximately 80 nucleotides in length. Their secondary structure includes four short double-helical elements and three loops (D, anti-codon, and T loops). The record is from RNAcentral.